GACUUGCUAGGUGGAGGCAGACAAAAGCAAGCCAACUGAAGAGAGCAGCACAAGGAUGCAGGUCCUUGCCCUAUUCACCCAGAGGCCAUAAAGUUGGGACAAGUGCCUUUCCUGGAGUUAGUGGAGGCCACAAAAGCAGAAGAGCUAUUUGUGAUACCAGGGGCAGCCUGGAAUAAGGAUUUGUGCCAUAUAACCCAUCUGGGCAUCUAAGCACUAUAAUAUUUAACUCCAUUGGCAUAUCAGUAACAGAGGAAGCCUGUGGCAGAAGAAAAUGCUGGCUGGCCCAAAACACCCUCUAAAGCAGACACAGCAUGUGCUUAACCAGGCUUAGUGCAGACCAGACGUAAGGUCUGGCCUCCUCAGGGUAAUGUAUCUCAGUCACUGCAUACUGACAGUGUGCAGUUUAGAUAGCUCUAGGGAUACUUCACAGUUUGUAAAUAUUUCCUUUCAAAUCCUUGCUCCUCAUGAAGCUGGAACAGCUCCUUGUAUCUCAAGCAAACACAUACAGAAAAACAUAAACUAAGAUCUUCUAGACACAUGGAGAAGUAUUGGAUUCACUCCUGCUUGCCUGUUUUUAAUUCCUGACACUGCCUAUGUUACAUAAACAGUUUUCAAGCAGAAAUCCCCUUUUACUUUGAUUAGUAGUUGCACUUUAAAAUCAAUUACAUAAUAUAUCCUUUGGGAAGGAAACAAUUUCUGAGAAUAAAUGAACAGCCAGCUUUCUGGAUCUUAGAAAUAGCACUAAGAUCUAUUAAAAUGCAAACCAGCUGUUCAAGAAGCUCCUCAGAGGCUUCUAAAAGACAGAAAAGAUUUGACAAUUGAACUUCAAGCAAAAGUGCUUAGGUUAAAAAGUAAGUAAUUUUAACAAGACUUUGAUGUCUGAUUAUCUGAAAUUAGGAACUUCUUAGCUCACUAAUUUCCUCUGGUUUUCAUAACCGAGUUCAUCAGCUAAACACCAACUGGACUUCAAGGAGUGUAUUGAUGUGACACAAAUCACAAACAAUACAAUUUCUUAGGAGGCCUUGUAAGGGGCAAGAAGUAGUUUUUGUUCUAUUCAUCCAACUGCAUUUGUGCAAAAGCUCUCUGUGCUGUGCUAGCAACCCGAAGCUGUCCUUCCAAAUCAGUGAGCUUUGGGUUUUAAUCACUGCAAGUAAAUGAGCUAUUCUAGUUACCAAAAGAGAAACAGUUGCCAAUCAUAGUAGAGAAGAAAGCAGACCCACUGCAGGGCAUGAAAUUAAAUUUUCCAGGUAGUAGCCAGUAAUUGAUACCACAAUGUGACCUUUGCCAAUAGCAGCCAAUUUAGAGCUGCGUGGAACCGUAGCCGAAGUAGGACAGAGGCUAUGAUCACCAGCACGCUUGCUCAGCAAAGACAGUGCUCUCUGCCUUCACUGGCACGUAGAUCUGUGCCUUUGUAAUUCACACGAAGCAAGACUCUCACCAGAUGCAGACAGCAUCCCAAGAAUAUCUUUACACAGACCUAUUUUUAAUAACAUUUUUUGUAACAUGGCAAAAUAACAGUACAGCAAAUUUGCAUACAAAUUACAAGGAAUUAACAGGUCUCCUUAAUACUAGCAUAUUUUAUGUGCCCUUAGUC
This is a long non-coding RNA of Pezoporus flaviventris, 1594 nucleotides long. RefSeq lists it as uncharacterized. NCBI's taxonomy places the organism in Eukaryota, Metazoa, Chordata, Aves, Psittaciformes, Psittacidae. The transcript has 4 exons. The record is from RefSeq and is a predicted model, not a curated record.